This 529-nucleotide ribosomal RNA is filed under the name Eumeninae sp. BOLD:ACO1947. Its description in RNAcentral is "partial 16S ribosomal RNA". The stretch from base 390 to 529 matches the Rfam family "Bacterial large subunit ribosomal RNA", at positions 2473 to 2613 of the family's 2925-position model. The record is from RNAcentral. Lineage: Eukaryota; Metazoa; Arthropoda; Insecta; Hymenoptera; Vespidae.
CGUUUAUAGAGUAUAAUUAUAAAUCGGUUUCUGCCCAAUGAAUAAAUGAAAAUUUAAAUGGCUGCGGUAUACUGACCGUACUAAGGUAGCAUAAUAAAUAGUUUUUUAAUUAAAAACUUGAAUGAAAGAGCUGACGAGAUAAAAAUUGUUUCAAUAUUAAUAAUUGAAUUUAAAUUUUAAGUUAAAAUGCUUAAAUAUUUUUAUAAGACGAGAAGACCCUAUAGAAUUUAAUAAAAUUUUAGUAUAAUGAUUUUUUUAUAAUUAAAAUAUUUAUAUUAAAUUAUAUUUAGUUGGGAGGAUUAUAAAAUUAAAAAAACUUUUAUUUUUUAAUAACAUAGAUAAAUGAAUAGUUGAUUAUUAUUAUAAUUAAAAGAAAAAAUUACCUUAGGGAUAACAGCGUAAUAUUUUUGGAGAGAUCAAAUUGAUAAAAUUGUUUGCGACCUCGAUGUUGAAUUAUGAUAUAAUUUAAAUGUAGGAGUUUAAAUUGUUAGUCUGUUCGACUAUUAAAAUCAUACGUGAUCUGAGUUCA